RNAcentral lists this ribosomal RNA (506 nucleotides) under uncultured bacterium. RNAcentral describes it as "partial 16S ribosomal RNA". It matches the Rfam family "Bacterial small subunit ribosomal RNA", at positions 29 to 523 of the family's 1533-position model. The record is from RNAcentral.
AGUGAACGCUGGCGGCAGGCCUAAUACAUGCAAGUCGAACGGCAGCACAGCAGAGCUUGCUCUGUGGGUGGCGAGUGGCGGACGGGUGAGGAAUACGUGGGAAUCUGCCCAGUCGUGGGGGAUAACGUAGGGAAACUUACGCUAAUACCGCAUGCGCCCUUUGGGGGAAAGCCGGGGAUCUUCGGACCUGGCGCGAUUGGAUGAGCCCACGUCGGAUUAGCUAGUUGGAGGGGUAAAGGCCCACCAAGGCGACGAUCCGUAGCUGGUCUGAGAGGAUGAUCAGCCAGACUGGAACUGAGACACGGUCCAGACUCCUACGGGAGGCAGCAGUAGGGAAUAUUGGACAAUGGGCGCAAGCCUGAUCCAGCCAUGCCGCGUGAGUGAAGAAGGCCCUCGGGUUGUAAAGCUCUUUUGUUGGGGAAGAAAAGCCUUGGGUUAAUACCCCGAAGUCCUGACGGUACCGGAAGAAUAAGCACCGGCUAACUUCGUGCCAGCAGCCGCAGUAA